UAUAGUAUGUUGAGAGUAUUUUUCUUUCUCCUCCUAUUUUUCCUUAAUGUUUGUCCAUGAUCUUUAGCUCAGAGGGAACGUGUGUGUUGCUGUAAGAGGCACCAGAGAAAGGUGUUGAGCAAAUGAGCACAAAUCUGCUGCAAGAGGCUGCAGAGCUUGUCUGCCUGGACACCUGCCACAGCAGACAUCAUUCAAGGCUGGCAGCUGAGACACUGUGACCUUGGCUAUGACAUGGAGAUCUCCAAAUGGAGCAGAACUCAGCUUUCCUGUCAGACUCCUCUCCAAUCUGUGCUGUUCAUCACACACUCCAACAACUCUUCUUUUGAAGCUUGAUUUGGUGAAUUUAUUUAACCUUGUACACACCAGGAAUUGCGCAGAGCAGCGGAACGACGUUAACUUGACCCUCAUCUUGGAGGGACCCUCUGAGCAGCAGAGACUUGGAGCAAGCUGGAAGAGCUGCUGGAUGCUGGGGCUGGUGUUGUGGAGUGGCAG
RNAcentral lists this long non-coding RNA (492 nucleotides) under Zonotrichia albicollis (white-throated sparrow). RNAcentral describes it as "lncRNA (ENSZALG00000017412.1)". The record is from RNAcentral. Lineage: Eukaryota; Metazoa; Chordata; Aves; Passeriformes; Passerellidae.